AGAACGAACGCUGGCGGCAGGCUUAACACAUGCAAGUCGAACGCGUGUAGCAAUACACGAGUGGCGCACGGGUGAGUAACGCGUGGAUAUCUGCCUUUUGGUUCGGAAUAACCCCGGGAAACUGGGGCUAAUACCGGAUGGUUCCUACGGGAUAAAGAUUUAUCGCCAAAAGAUGAGUCCGCGUCCGAUUAGCUAGUUGGUGGGGUAAUGGCCUACCAAGGCGACGAUCGGUAGCUGGUCUGAGAGGACGAUCAGCCACACUGGGACUGAGACACGGCCCAGACUCCUACGGGAGGCAGCAGUGGGGAAUAUUGGACAAUGGGGGCAACCCUGAUCCAGCCAUGCCGCGUGAGUGAUGAAGGCCUUCGGGUUGUAAAGCUCUUUUGGCGGGACGAUGAUGACGGUACCGCAGAAUAAGCCCCGGCUAACUUCGCGCCAGCAGCCGC
RNAcentral lists this ribosomal RNA (446 nucleotides) under uncultured bacterium. Its description in RNAcentral is "SSU rRNA". It matches the Rfam family "Bacterial small subunit ribosomal RNA", at positions 26 to 518 of the family's 1533-position model. The record is from RNAcentral.